RNAcentral lists this ribosomal RNA (499 nucleotides) under Euryarchaeota archaeon UBA98. RNAcentral describes it as "bacterial SSU rRNA". It matches the Rfam family "Archaeal small subunit ribosomal RNA", at positions 968 to 1467 of the family's 1478-position model. Lineage: Archaea; Methanobacteriati; Thermoplasmatota; Candidatus Poseidoniia; Candidatus Poseidoniales. The record is from RNAcentral.
UUGCUGGAUUGUUCGAGAGGUAGUGCAUGGCCGCCGUCAGUUCGUACCGUAAGGCGUUCUGUUAAGUCAGAUAACGAACGAGACCCUCAUCCCUAUUUGCCAAGGUCUCUCCGGAGAUCAAGGGACUAUAGGGAGACCGCUGGCGCGAAGUCAGAGGAAGGCGAGGGCAACGGUAGGUCAGUAUGCUCCGAAUGCACUGGGCUACACGCGCAAUACAAAGGACGGGACAAUGGGCUGCUGCUCCGAGAGGAAUGAUGGCUAUCCCGAAACCCGUUCGUAGUUCGGAUCGAGGGCUGUAACUCGCCCUCGUGAAGCUGGAUUAGGUAGUAAUCGCGUCUCAAAAAGGCGCGGUGAAUACGCCCCUGUUCCUUGCACACACCGCCCGUCAAACCAUCUUAGUUGGGGGUGGGUGAGGCUGCCUUUUAGUGGGGUAGUCGAGCCUGCUUUCGACAAGGAGGGUUAAGUCGUAACAAGGUAUCUGUAGGGGAACCUGCAGAUG